GCUAAAGAGUCAAAGCAAAGAUUUACUGGCAAAGACCUCUGAAGAGCAAUCAUCUUGGCCUUGAGAUGCAACAGGUGUACACAUUGGACAGGAACUGAGUCAUCCUCUGAGGCCAACAAAGAACCUCGUCCCUACACUGCUAGGCUGACUCUUCAAUGCGAAGGAUUGAAUAGAGUUCUCAAG
This 183-nucleotide long non-coding RNA is filed under the name Mustela putorius furo (domestic ferret). Its description in RNAcentral is "lncRNA (ENSMPUG00000031926.1)". Lineage: Eukaryota; Metazoa; Chordata; Mammalia; Carnivora; Mustelidae. The record is from RNAcentral.